AUGCAUGUCUGUACGCAUUUACAUGUAUGGUGUGUGUACACAUACAUAUACACAUGCUUGCAUAUAUAAAUGCAUGCAUGUAUAUGUGUGUGCAUGAAUAUAUGCAUGCAAGCUUGUAUGUAUAACUGCGUGCAUAUUUGCAUGCACAUGCAU
RNAcentral lists this small RNA (153 nucleotides) under Dasypus novemcinctus (nine-banded armadillo). RNAcentral's name for it is "Clostridiales-1 RNA (ENSDNOG00000040557.1)". The record is from RNAcentral. Lineage: Eukaryota; Metazoa; Chordata; Mammalia; Cingulata; Dasypodidae.